AAAAAGAUCUGGCAUAUAUUCCUGAUACUUCUUUGAUGAAUUCGUAGAGUUAGGUCUCUUCGUACCUGAUGUAUGUAAUAGCUAUAAAAACAGAGGACAAAAGAAGAGGGCAAUUUUAUCUAUACAGUUUUGCUCAAGCACAAAUCUUGCCCGUCUAAAGAGUGAGUUUAUAAGGUGAAUGGAUUUGGAGGUUGGUGAACAAUUGGAGUCUUUGACAUGGAGACAUUGCCCAACUGCACACUGGGUGCCACUGUGUCCUCGAUAGUUAUCGGAUCAACCUGCACAAUUUUCUCUGGCACAACUUUGUCACCAUCUACCUUUGCCAGAACUUCAAAAUGCAUCCUUACUGUUUCAGGCUUAGUUCUCCACUCUGGAUAACCCUCCAAAUUGAACCCAUCUCCUUCCUUCAACUUCUUCUCAACUCCAAAACCAAUCUUCACAAAAGUCUGGGCUGAUACAUCUGCCUUUAACAACUUGAAAGAACCUUUUUUACCUGCUUUAGGACCCAGUAUAUUAGAAAGCAAGGCCUCAAAACCAAGCAAGUUCGAGUUUGAACCAUUGAUAGAUGUAACAGGCCACAAUGUAGUGAAUUGAUUGGGUGUAAGAAGUGCAGUGGUUUCUCCCUGGAGAUCAAUAGUGGAGAUGGCGUCCAUGGCUUUCAAUUUUGAUACUGAUGACAACUCAACAAGACCAGGUGCAAGCCGUUUAAGCUUAAGUUUGUUUGCAGAAGGGGCAGAUGGUGAGGUGGGGGAUGUAAGAGAUGUAGGACCAACAAUUCUAAGAGAGAGGAGAGG
Molecule: unclassified non-coding RNA, 794 nt
Filed under: Hevea brasiliensis (rubber tree)
Lineage: Eukaryota; Viridiplantae; Streptophyta; Magnoliopsida; Malpighiales; Euphorbiaceae
Source: RNAcentral